Molecule: long non-coding RNA, 1763 nt
Organism: Canis lupus familiaris (dog)
Lineage: Eukaryota; Metazoa; Chordata; Mammalia; Carnivora; Canidae
Exons: 6
Source: RefSeq, a predicted model, not a curated record
UGGUGAUGCUGCCAGGAGUGCCUCUGCUGCUGUAUUUCUUCCCUGGAGGCGAGCAGCUCAAUAUGAUUCUUAGUGUAUUCAAUCUCUUGUCAAACCAGAUUAUGCUUCUGGAGGUGCUAGACUUGGUCUCCUCAAGAGAAAGGGUGUAUGUGAGAACCAUUUGAAAUCCCUUGAAGAGCCUUCCUGAGGAGGAUAACAUGUGUGGAAAUCAUUGAGGGAACACUUCCCCAAAAGUGGCUCCCCUCCAAUGAGAGCUUCCAAUGAAAAACCCCAGUACAGCAAGCAUUCUCAGCUUCAACCAAACCAGCCAUCUCCAUGUGCCAAACCUGGUGUCAGUGCUGUGGAGCUGCUUUACAGAACUGGAUCAUGCUACAUAGGACCCAAGAAUUCACAUACCUGGAAGGCAGCAAGUCAUGGGUAACAGUCAGGAGUGCUGGGGAUUUUCAUCAGCCAGACAGCAUAUUCCAUGUCUUAAGUGACCAGGCCUCCCCAUCCCCAGGUCAUUAUGGCUUCCAGGAAAUAAAGUUAACCAUACCAGCAUGGCAGGUGCCUCAGAACAUAAGUGCUGGAAUGGUAUGACUCCAAUGCAGGUGGCAACUGUUAAGGAGAUUCUGCUGUGAAAAUGGAAUUGAAAGAGGUCCAACUGCAAAUAGGGGAGGGAAGCCACUGCAAUCCACCAAAAAAAACGCAGAGAAUACAUUUAAUGCAUUGUUUUUUGUGAAAAAGAAACCAAACAUCUUAAUCUCAAAUGGCAAGAGAUGAGGCCCAUUGGUGAACAACUGUCCAAUCAUAAUAAUGGACUCAACUAAUCCUAGGAUCAGUGAAAAGGACAUGAGCUUCUUCAGAAAUUUAAGGAUGUAUAUUUACAUGAACAUUCAAAGAUUUCAGUAAAAAUGCUUCUCAUCCUAAUCCUUCAUCUACAUUCUGUGUAAGACCAAAGAUUUUAUAUGUGGAAGAAAUAAUCAAGAAGCUUAAAAGAAAGAUAUUUCUAUGGAUACAUAUCCCCAAGAAUAACCACCAUAACUACUUCAAAGUAGCUAACACAUGAGUCCAGACUGGAAAAAGACAGCUGAGCUUAAUUUUCUAUGGCAUUUCCCGUGGUAUUAUAUUUGCUUGUGCCAAAUGGAUAUGGACAUUUUUAGCUCAAGUUUUCAGUGGUUUGUUUUUUCAUCUCAUCUGUGCUCCAAUGCACAAUUUCAUCUGCUCACACCUGCAUAGCCAACAUGUUGGCUAUGUAGAAAACUUCCAUGGCUCCUACUAUCACAUGGGACUAUAGUACUAAAUGCUUCAUGGGCCAGUUGCUUCCAAAGAAAGCAAAAGAUUCAUCAGGAUUUUUUCUUUUAAGAUUCAUCAGGAUUUAGACUACCUUUAUGACCUCCCACUACAAAUGAAAACCCCUUUGUUCCAUUUAUGCCAACAUUUCUCCUCUAAUCCAUUCAUUAGAACCUUUAUCCCUUAUUAGAUGUACUACUUAAUUGAUAACUUUGAUUGGUACUGUUGUGCUUCAUGAUUUGAAGAAUUUUUCAAGAAUGAUUUAUAGGAAGAAAAUAUCCAAGAUUAAGCAAUCAUUUGUAGAUCUUGAUAAGAGACUUAAAAUACUCCUAAGAUCCAUAUUCAGCUCCUACAUUAAGUUCAUUUUAAAACUAGUCCUUUAAUUUUUAUCUUCAGCUAUGAAUAUAAAACCAAUAGCAUCUCUGUUCCAGUUUCAUAGAGGUCCACUGGAAGAGCCUCUACCUGCCUCUAUGGAUUUAACAUCUUUAACA